Molecule: long non-coding RNA, 949 nt
Organism: Rosa rugosa (rugosa rose)
Lineage: Eukaryota; Viridiplantae; Streptophyta; Magnoliopsida; Rosales; Rosaceae
Exons: 3
Source: RefSeq, a predicted model, not a curated record
UCUCAGAUCUGAAUUCCUCAAUUCUCUUAUACCGCUCAUCUUCGUCACCGAUCAUCUUCUCUAUUAUUGUUUUUCUUUUGUCUUAAUUAAGUUUCCUGAAAUCGUUUUCAGUAACUCAAAUUCAAAUAUCAAAGCAGCAGCGAAGGAAUUGGGUUGCUAUUGUUUUGCUAUUUUUCUCUUCGGUUGAUAAAUUUUUCUCCUACCAUCAAGGUAUGGCAGGGGAGAAGUUGGAUGAAAAUAUUCCUUGCGAGGAAAAUGGGACUGUAGAAUCUUCGAAUGGCAAUGGUAAUGGAGAAGCCGCUCAACAAUCUCCAACUGUUCAGAAAGAUGAGGAUGAAGACAAAGGUUAUAUUUUCAUAUUCAAUACCACUGCCAUGCAACUCUUAUUUCCUCUUUUUCUCUGUAACUUAGACUGAUGGAUCACUAGGAGAGUGCAGGUGGACCUUUGUGAAAUCAUAGAAACGUAAAGGAUGGGCUAAAUGAUACUAGUUGUACUAGGAUGUUAAUAGUCAAACUCGGCAAUGUAUCCUGCCUCAGAUAGCAACUUUUCUGAUUGGGUUUGAUAAUCAAGUAACUUGAGUACAUCCUAAUAAGCUAUCAGUUUAAUGAGCAGGAAUACCGCUGGUUUUGUGUACUUGAGAGAUUUGAGAACACAUAAGCUGCAAUAAAUGCUCGACAAGUUCUCCAUGGAAGAUGGUUUGCUGGAAGAUGAUCACAGCGACUUUCAUGUUGCCUCAUAUCUGUGAGACUAAAUUCCCUGAGAGCCGAUAGGAUUAUGCACAUUAGGAAUGUGAAGAAGGCAGCUGGUAUGCCUGUUAGGUCCAAUUUCCAGAUGAUGGAGUAUUUAAUUGUCCUCGUGGCUUUGUGUAACAAGAAAGAAUGUAAUGUUGAGAUGAGAAAGUUGCAUGUACAUCACUUGGAAUUUUUCAGUCAAUGCAACGUGAAAUUA